UGCCAGCCGCCGCGGUAAUACGUACCGGACAAACGUUAUUCGGAAUCACUGGGCUUAAAGAGUACGUAGGCUGCCUUGAAGGUGAGAUGUGAAAUCCCAUGGCCUAACCAUGGAACUGCAUUUCAAACCACAAGGCUUGAGGGAGACAGGGGUAAGCGGAACUCACAGUGGAGCGGUGAAAUGCGUUGAUAUUGUGAGGAACACCGGUGGCGAAGGCGGCUUACUGGGUCUCUUCUGACGCUGAGGUACGAAAGCUAGGGUAGCGAACGGGAUUAGAUA
Molecule: ribosomal RNA, 279 nt
Filed under: uncultured bacterium
Lineage: Bacteria
Description: partial 16S ribosomal RNA
Rfam family: Bacterial small subunit ribosomal RNA
Source: RNAcentral